This 440-nucleotide ribosomal RNA is filed under the name uncultured bacterium. RNAcentral describes it as "partial 16S ribosomal RNA". It matches the Rfam family "Bacterial small subunit ribosomal RNA", at positions 338 to 795 of the family's 1533-position model. The record is from RNAcentral.
CCUACGGGAGGCAGCAGUGGGGAAUAUUGCACAAUGGGGGAAACCCUGAUGCAGCGACGCCGCGUGUAGGAAGACGGUCCUCUGGAUUGUAAACUACUGUCCCCAGGGACGAAGAUGACGGUACCUGGGGAGGAAGCUCCGGCUAACUACGUGCCAGCAGCCGCGGUAAUACGUAGGGAGCGAGCGUUGUCCGGAAUUACUGGGUGGAAAGGGAGCGUAGGCGGGGAUGCAAGUUGGGUGUUAAAUCUACCGGCUCAACUGGUAGUCGCACUCAAAACUGCAGCUCUUGAGUGAAGUAGAGGCAGGCGGAAUUCCGAGGGUAGCGGUGAAAUGCGUAGAUAUUAGGAGGAACACCAGUGGCGAAGGCGGCCUGCUGGGCUUUUACUGACGCUGAGGCUCGAAAGUGUGGGGAGCAAACAGGAUUAGAUACCCCAGUAGUC